GCCUGAAUAGCUCAGCUGGUAGAGCGCCCGACUUGUAAUCGGACGGUCGCAGGUUCGAAUCCUGUUUCAGGCUCCA
RNAcentral lists this transfer RNA (76 nucleotides) under Deinococcus soli (ex Cha et al. 2016). RNAcentral's name for it is "tRNA-Thr". It matches the Rfam family "tRNA". From Rfam's summary of the family: Transfer RNA (tRNA) molecules are approximately 80 nucleotides in length. Lineage: Bacteria; Thermotogati; Deinococcota; Deinococci; Deinococcales; Deinococcaceae. The record is from RNAcentral.